This 440-nucleotide ribosomal RNA is filed under the name uncultured bacterium. RNAcentral describes it as "partial 16S ribosomal RNA". It matches the Rfam family "Bacterial small subunit ribosomal RNA", at positions 338 to 795 of the family's 1533-position model. The record is from RNAcentral.
CCUACGGGUGGCAGCAGUGGGGAAUAUUGCACAAUGGGGGAAACCCUGAUGCAGCGACGCCGCGUGAGUGAAGAAGUAUCUCGGUACGUAAAGCUCUAUCAGCAGGGAAGAAAAUGACGGUACCUGACUAAGAAGCCCCGGCUAACUACGUGCCAGCAGCCGCGGUAAUACGUAGGGGGCAAGCGUUAUCCGGAUUUACUGGGUGUAAAGGGAGCGUAGACGGCAGGACAAGUCUGGAGUGAAAUCCCGGGGCUUAACCCCGGAACUGCUUUGGAAACUGUGAGGCUGGAGUGCAGGAGGGGUGAGCGGAAUUCGUAGUGUAGCGGUGAAAUGCGUAGAUAUUAGGAGGAACACCGGUGGCGAAGGCGGUUUACUGGACUGUAACUGACGUUGAGGCUCGAAAGCGUGGGGAGCAAACAGGAUUAGAUACCCUUGUAGUC